GGGAACGGGAGUGCAGUGAGGGGACACGGGAGUGCAGUGAGGGGAACUCAGAAAAUGGGAGUUCAGUCUGGAGAACUCAGAAAAUCGGGAGUUCAGUCUGGGGAACCCAGGAAAUCGGGAUUGCAGUAAAGGGAACUCAGAAAAUCGGGAUUGCAGUAAGGAGAACUCAGAAAAUGGGAUUUCAGUCAGGGGAUUGGGAUGGGGAACACAGAAAAUGGGAGUUCACUCAGGGGAACACAGGAAACGGGAGUUCAAUCAGGGGAUUGGGGUGGGGAACCCAGAAAAUGGGAUUUCAGUGAGGGGAACCUGGGAAAUUGGGAUUGCAGUAAGGGGAAUGGUGGGGGGAACCCAGAAACUGGGAUUUCAGUAACAGGAAUUAGGGAAAUUGGGAUUCCAGUAUGGAAUGGGGCAUGGGGCACCCAGGAAAAUUGGGAUUUCAGUAAGGGGUAUCCAGAAAAUUGGUAUUUCAGCCUAGGGAAUGGCGUGGGAAACCCAAAAAAUGGGAUUUCAGACUGGGGAACAGCAAGGGGAACCCACACAAUCAGGAUUUCAGCCUGGGUUUCCCAUACAAUGAGGAUUUUAACCCAGGUUCCCCACACAAUCGGGAUUUCAGCCUGGGUUUCCCAUACAAUGAGGAUUUUAACCCAGGUUCCCCGCACAAUCACCAUUUCAGCCCGGGAACGCCCUGUAGGCGCCCGGGGGCGCACACACACACACACACACACACACACACACACACACACACACACACACCCCCAGCAGGCACUCACCCCCCCCCCCCCCCCCCCCCCCCCCCCCCCCCCCCCCCCCCCCCCCCCCCCCCCCCCCCCCCCCCCCCCCCCCCCCCCCCCCCCCCCCCCCCCCCCCCCCCCCCCCCCCCCCCCCCCC
This 888-nucleotide long non-coding RNA is filed under the name Ficedula albicollis (Collared flycatcher). Its description in RNAcentral is "lncRNA (ENSFALG00000025759.1)". Lineage: Eukaryota; Metazoa; Chordata; Aves; Passeriformes; Muscicapidae. The record is from RNAcentral.